Podarcis lilfordi (Lilford's wall lizard) is the source of this 239-nucleotide non-coding RNA. The record is from the annotation of a GenBank genome assembly. Lineage: Eukaryota; Metazoa; Chordata; Lepidosauria; Squamata; Lacertidae.
AUCACUACAUAGCGAUGCCACACAUGCGCUGUACAUAGUGGUUUGCCGGUGGCGCUGCUCCAGCGCCAUAUGGAUGGCGGUGGGAUCCCUCUGUCGCCACUACAGCCACGAACGGAGGAUCCUCUACAUGCAGCUGUAGUGGCGACAGAGGGAUCCCCGCCGUCUGUACAGUGCUCGAGCAGCGCCGGCGGCAAACUGCUAUGUACAGUGCACAUGUGGCAUCGCUACGUACAGUGCAU